UCGAGCGCGCCUUCGGGUGAGCGGCGGACGGGUUAGUAACGCGUGGGAACGUGCCCUUCUCUACGGAAUAGCCUCUGGAAACGGAGAGUAAUACCGUAUACGCCCUUUGGGGGAAAGAUUUAUCGGAGAAGGAUCGGCCCGCGUUAGAUUAGGUAGUUGGUGGGGUAACGGCCUACCAAGCCUACGAUCUAUAGCUGGUUUUAGAGGAUGAUCAGCCACACCGGGACUGAGACACGGCCCGGACUCCUACGGGAGGCAGCAGUGGGGAAUAUUGCGCAAUGGGCGAAAGCCUGACGCAGCCAUGCCGCGUGUGUGAAGAAGGCCUUCGGGUUGUAAAGCACUUUCACUUGGGAAGAAAGGUUUGUGGUUAAUACCUGCAAGCUGUGACAUUACCAUGAGAAGAAGCACCGGCUAACUCCGUGCCAGCAGCCGCGGUAAUACGGAGGAUCCAAGCGUUAUCCGGAUUCAUUGGGUUUAAAGGGUCCGUAGGCGGAUUUUUAAGUCAGUGGUGAAAGCCGACAGCUCAACUGUCGAACUGCCAUUGAUACUGG
This 551-nucleotide ribosomal RNA is filed under the name uncultured Gammaproteobacteria bacterium. Its description in RNAcentral is "bacterial SSU rRNA". It matches the Rfam family "Bacterial small subunit ribosomal RNA", at positions 62 to 636 of the family's 1533-position model. Lineage: Bacteria; Pseudomonadati; Pseudomonadota; Gammaproteobacteria. The record is from RNAcentral.